ACCGUGAGGGAAAGGCGAAAAGAACCCCGGCGAGGGGAGUGAAAAAGAACCUGAAACCGUGUACGUACAAGCAGUGGGAGCACGCUUAGGCGUGUGACUGCGUACCUUUUGUAUAAUGGGUCAGCGACUUAUAUUCUGUAGCAAGGUUAACCGAAUAGGGGAGCCGAAGGGAAACCGAGUCUUAACUGGGCGUUAAGUUGCAGGGUAUAGACCCGAAACCCGGUGAUCUAGCCAUGGGCAGGUUGAAGGUUGGGUAACACUAACUGGAGGACCGAACCGACUAAUGUUGAAAAAUUAGCGGAUGACUUGUGGCUGGGGGUGAAAGGCCAAUCAAACCGGGAGAUAGCUGGUUCUCCCCGAAAGCUAUUUAGGUAGCGCCUCGUGAAUUCAUCUCCGGGGGUAGAGCACUGUUUCGGCAAGGGGGUCAUCCCGACUUACCAACCCGAUGCAAACUGCGAAUACCGGAGAAUGUUAUCACGGGAGACACACGGCGGGUGCUAACGUCCGUCGUGAAGAGGGAAACAACCCAGACCGCCAGCUAAGGUCCCAAAGUCAUGGUUAAGUGGGAAACGAUGUGGGAAGGCCCAGACAGCCAGGAUGUUGGCUUAGAAGCAGCCAUCAUUUAAAGAAAGCGUAAUAGCUCACUGGUCGAGUCGGCCUGCGCGGAAGAUGUAACGGGGCUAAACCAUGCACCGAAGCUGCGGCAGCGACGCUGAUGCGUUGUUGGGUAGGGGAGCGUUCUGUAAGCCUGUGAAGGUGUGCUGUGAGGCAUGCUGGAGGUAUCAGAAGUGCGAAUGCUGACAUAAGUAACGAUAAAGCGGGUGAAAAGCCCGCUCGCCGGAAGACCAAGGGUUCCUGUCCAACGUUAAUCGGGGCAGGGUGAGUCGACCCCUAAGGCGAGGCCGAAAGGCGUAGUCGAUGGGAAACAGGUUAAUAUUCCUGUACUUGGUGUUACUGCGAAGGGGGGACGGAGAAGGCUAUGUUGGCCGGGCGACGGUUGUCCCGGUUUAAGCGUGUAGGCUGGUUUUCCAGGCAAAUCCGGAAAAUCAAGGCUGAGGCGUGAUGACGAGGCACUACGGUGCUGAAGCAACAAAUGCCCUGCUUCCAGGAAAAGCCUCUAAGCAUCAGGUAACAUCAAAUCGUACCCCAAACCGACACAGGUGGUCAGGUAGAGAAUACCAAGGCGCUUGAGAGAACUCGGGUGAAGGAACUAGGCAAAAUGGUGCCGUAACUUCGGGAGAAGGCACGCUGAUAUGUAGGUGAAGCGACUUGCUCGUGGAGCUGAA
Molecule: ribosomal RNA, 1286 nt
Filed under: Escherichia coli
Lineage: Bacteria; Pseudomonadati; Pseudomonadota; Gammaproteobacteria; Enterobacterales; Enterobacteriaceae
Description: partial 23S ribosomal RNA
Rfam family: Bacterial large subunit ribosomal RNA
Source: RNAcentral